This 317-nucleotide transfer-messenger RNA is filed under the name Fibrella sp. It matches the Rfam family "transfer-messenger RNA", at positions 1 to 319 of the family's 374-position model. Rfam says of the family: Bacterial tmRNA, also known as 10Sa RNA or SsrA, is named for its dual tRNA and mRNA-like properties. Lineage: Bacteria; Pseudomonadati; Bacteroidota; Cytophagia; Cytophagales; Spirosomataceae. The record is from Rfam by way of RNAcentral.
GGGGACGACCGGAAUUGACAGCUUGCUGAAAUUGCGGGUUAGCAGGUCGGGAGUUGGUAGUAUUUCCUGUACAACAAACUACCAAACAAUAACAGGCGAGUAUAACUACGCCAUGGCUGCCUAAUCCGGAGGAUUAAGCAAUAGCCAUCGUCUCCCCGACCUACGUGCUGCUGGUUGGAUCAGGGGGCGUCGACAUGCAGCGCUGGUUGGGUUUAUGGUGUUAACCGCCCAAUGAGACACAAGCACCUACGGUUGCGGGACGGCCUGACGCGAGCCUGCCCAAUACUCGACAAUCAAAAUCGCGGCUAAACCUGUAG